This 500-nucleotide ribosomal RNA is filed under the name Fusarium incarnatum. RNAcentral describes it as "eukaryotic LSU rRNA". The stretch from base 143 to 296 matches the Rfam family "5.8S ribosomal RNA". The record is from RNAcentral. Lineage: Eukaryota; Fungi; Ascomycota; Sordariomycetes; Hypocreales; Nectriaceae.
UACAACUCCCAAACCCCUGUGAACAUACCUAUACGUUGCCUCGGCGGAUCAGCCCGCGCCCCGUAAAACGGGACGGCCCGCCCGAGGACCCCUAAACUCUGUUUUUAGUGGAACUUCUGAGUAAAACAAACAAAUAAAUCAAAACUUUCAACAACGGAUCUCUUGGUUCUGGCAUCGAUGAAGAACGCAGCAAAAUGCGAUAAGUAAUGUGAAUUGCAGAAUUCAGUGAAUCAUCGAAUCUUUGAACGCACAUUGCGCCCGCCAGUAUUCUGGCGGGCAUGCCUGUUCGAGCGUCAUUUCAACCCUCAAGCUCAGCUUGGUGUUGGGACUCGCGGUAACCCGCGUUCCCCAAAUCGAUUGGCGGUCACGUCGAGCUUCCAUAGCGUAGUAAUCAUACACCUCGUUACUGGUAAUCGUCGCGGCCACGCCGUAAAACCCCAACUUCUGAAUGUUGACCUCGGAUCAGGUAGGAAUACCCGCUGAACUUAAGCAUAUCAAUA